GACGAACGCUGGCGGCGGGCUUAACACAUGCGAGUCGAGCGGGAAGGCCCUGUUUGUUUGGGGUACUCGAGUGGCGAACGGGUGAGGAACACGUAAGUAACCUGCCCUUGACUGUGGGAUAACUUCAGGUAAGUGGGACUCAUACCGGAUUGUAGCUCCGGCUUCGUUUUGGUGUUUGAAAAGUGGCGGAGGUUGGGGAUGAGCUCGUCGCUUAUCUGCUUGUUGGUGUGGUAGUGGCUUACCAAGGCUUUGACGGGGAGCCGGCCUGAGAGGGUGACCGGGAACAUUGCCACUGAGCUACGGCCGAGAGUCGUAAGGGAGGCAGCAGUGGGGAAGAUUGCACAAUGGGCGGAAGCCGGAUGCAGGAAGGCGGUGUGCGGGAUGAUGGCCUUCGUGUGGAAAACCGCUUUCGCCUGUGCCGAAGCGUGAGUGACGGUAAUGGGUAAAGAAGCACCGGCUAACUACGUG
RNAcentral lists this ribosomal RNA (468 nucleotides) under uncultured bacterium. Its description in RNAcentral is "partial 16S ribosomal RNA". It matches the Rfam family "Bacterial small subunit ribosomal RNA", at positions 28 to 507 of the family's 1533-position model. The record is from RNAcentral.